CGGCGAGGGGUGGAAAAAUAAACCCGGGUUUAUUUUUCUGCCCCUUGGGAACCCACCCUUCGCCUUCACCUCCCACCCACACAGCGCCUGCCUCUCCCUCCUGCCACAGGCGCACAGCUGCCUCCUCGCCUUCGUUCCGAGUUGCUGGUCGUCGUCUCUUUCUCCCUCACUCUCCUGCUCCCUCGUCCUCUCUCUUGCCCUUUCACUCUCCUGCUCCCUCGUCCUCUCUCUCGCCCUUUCACUCUCCUGAUCCCCUCUGCGUCUCUCUUGCCCUCUGAGUCUCCUUCUCCCCUCGUUGUCUCUCUCACCCUCUGAGUCUCCUUCUCCCCUCGUUGUCUCUCUCGCCCUCUCACUCUCCUGCUACCCUCCUCGUCUCUCUCGCAGAACGACCUCAUCUUGCUCGCUGCCAUAGAUCAGAUCCUCAUCAGAUCUGUGCAUCUCUGCCUCUCCACCAUAGAUCUGUGAAGGCUUGAGGAGUGACACUAGAAGAGUGAAGGCUUUUUGUGCAGGCCGGUGAGGGAAGGAGAGGCGGUCCACUUCGCUGGUCGAGUCGUCAUCGUCACUUUCUGUUAUCAGGGAAGAGCGAAAAUCCCUUGGUAUGGUAGGUAAGAGUUGGAAUUGCAAAGGGGUUUGCGAAGGCACUGGCUUACUUGCAUGGUCAGGAAUUAUGUCCAUGGGGAUCUGAAGCCUACAAAUAUACUCUUGGGGGAGAUGAUGGAACCAUACAUAUCAGAUUUUGGAUUGGGGAGACUGGCAAACAUUGCAGGUGAGUCACCAGGUUUGCAAUCUAAUCGCGUACCAACUGAUAACAGGCAACAACCAACUGAUAGCAGGCAACAACAAGCAUGACCUCAGAGAUGGGAUAUUCUGUAUCAAGCACCUGAAGCACCAAAACUUCUAAAACCAUCGCAAAAGUGGGAUGUUUACUCGUAUGGGGUGAUUCGGUUAGAGUUGAUAACUGGUAGGUCAACAGAAGUUUUGAUGUCGACCUCAGAGAUGGACAUAGUGAGCUGGGUUCAGUUGUGUAUGGAUGAGAAGAAGCCUUUUUCAGAUGUUGUGGAGCCUGUUCUUCUGCGCCAAAUGCAAAUGGAAGAGGAAAUGAUUGGUGUUUUCAAGAUUGCAUUGUGUCAAUAUCAAUCCAGAAAGAAGGCCUUCGAUGAGGAACGUAGCUGAUUUGCUGGACAGACUGACAUGCACCGGCUAAGAAUGUGAAGCUCAACUAUUGUUUAUGGCAGCUGUUAAAUAUAUUGCCGAGAAAGAAGCUGCACAGGGGAUAUGUUAGAAUCAAGUGAAUCGGAGUUCUCAGUUGCAGUUCAUUCAAAAAGGUUGUGUUCCAUGCUGGAGCCUUUCAAAAGCUCCCUUUUUCCUAUCACAACUUGUGAAUUUGUUCCAUUUCAACAAGAUAAAAGGCAUAUGGCGUGCUUUCUUUCCCUGUGGUGCUUAAACCUGUUGUAACUUUGUUAUUUGAAUGUAGUAUGUGAAUUUUGCAGUGAUCCUAUCCAUAGUUUGUUUUAAGAUA
Long non-coding RNA from Nymphaea colorata (pocket water lily), 1519 nucleotides. RefSeq lists it as uncharacterized. The record is from RefSeq and is a predicted model, not a curated record. The transcript has 3 exons. NCBI's taxonomy places the organism in Eukaryota, Viridiplantae, Streptophyta, Magnoliopsida, Nymphaeales, Nymphaeaceae.